RNAcentral lists this ribosomal RNA (292 nucleotides) under uncultured Planctomycetota bacterium. RNAcentral describes it as "uncultured planctomycete partial 16S ribosomal RNA". The record is from RNAcentral. Lineage: Bacteria; Pseudomonadati; Planctomycetota.
GGACUACAGGGGUAUCUAAUCCCGUUUGCUCCCCUGGCUUUCGCGCCUCAGCGUCAGAAGAGGGCCAGCCGCGCGCUUUCGCCACCGGCGUUCCUUCCGAUAUCAACGCAUUUCACCGCUCCACCGGAAGUUCCCGCGGCCCCUACCUCCCUCCAGACCAGCAGUAUCCAAGGCACUUUUCCGGUUGAGCCGAAAGAUUUCACCCCGGACUUGCUGAUCCGCCUACGCGCCCUUUAAGCCCAGUGAUUCCGAACAACGUUCGCACGGUUCGUCUUACCGCGGCUGCUGGCAC